Molecule: long non-coding RNA, 99 nt
Organism: Balaenoptera musculus (blue whale)
Lineage: Eukaryota; Metazoa; Chordata; Mammalia; Artiodactyla; Balaenopteridae
Exons: 3
Source: RefSeq, a predicted model, not a curated record
GUACGUUCACGUUGUUGUGCAAGCAUCACCAUUAUCUGUCUCCAGAACUUUUCAUUCUCCCAAACUGAAACUCUGUACCCAUUAAACAAUUAUUUCCCA